AGGAUAGGCCACGGGAAACUGUGGGUAAUACUCGAUAAGCUCCCUGAACAUGACGGUUUGGGGAGCAAAGGUGAGAUUCCACCGGAGGAGCGGCUGACUUAGUAUUAGCUAGUUGGUGAGGUAAAAGCUCACCAAGGCUUCGAUGCUUAGGGGGUGUGAGAGCAUGACCCCCACCACUGGGACUGAGAAACUGCCCAGACACCUACGGGUGGCUGCAGUCGAGGAUCUUCGGCAAUGGGCGCAAGCCUGACCGAGCGACGCC
Molecule: ribosomal RNA, 262 nt
Filed under: uncultured bacterium
Lineage: Bacteria
Description: partial 16S ribosomal RNA
Rfam family: Bacterial small subunit ribosomal RNA
Source: RNAcentral